This 499-nucleotide unclassified non-coding RNA is filed under the name uncultured Glomus. RNAcentral's name for it is "SSU rRNA". It matches the Rfam family "Eukaryotic small subunit ribosomal RNA", at positions 569 to 1073 of the family's 1831-position model. Lineage: Eukaryota; Fungi; Glomeromycota; Glomeromycetes; Glomerales; Glomeraceae. The record is from RNAcentral.
AGCAGCCGCGGUAAUUCCAGCUCCAAUAGCGUAUAUUAAAGUUGUUGCAGUUAAAAAGCUCGUAGUUGAAUUUCGGGAUCAAUAUGUUGGUCGUGCCUCGGUACGUACUAGCUUAUUGGUUUCUCCUUUCUGAAGAACCAUGAUGUCAUUUAUUUGGUGUCGUGGGGAAUCAGGACUGUUACUUUGAAAAAAAUUAGAGUGUUUAAAGCAGGCUCACGCUUGAAUACAUUAGCAUGGGAUAAUGAAAUAGGACGUUUGAUUCUAUUUUGUUGGUUUCUAGGAUCGACGUAAUGAUUAAUAGGGAUAGUUGGGGGCAUUAGUAUUCAAUUGUCAGAGGUGAAAUUCUUGGAUUUAUUGAAGACUAACUACUGCGAAAGCAUUUGCCAAGGAUGUUUUCAUUAAUCAAGAACGAAAGUUAGGGGAUCGAAGACGAUCAGAUACCGUCGUAGUCUUAACCAUAAACUAUGCCGACUAGGGAUCGGAUGAUGUUAAUUUUUUU